CCCUUAGAUGUUCUGGGCCGCACGCGCGCUACACUGAUACGUUCAACGAGCUCCUUGACCGAGAGGCCCGGGUAAUCUUUGAAACCGUAUCGUGAUGGGGAUAGAACAUUGCAAUUAUUGUUCUUCAACGAGGAAUGCCUAGUAAGCGCGAGUCAUCAUCUCGCGUUGAUUACGUCCCUGCCCUUUGUACACACCGCCCGUCGCUCCUACCGAUUGAACGUGCUGGUGAAGCGUUAGGACUGGAGGUCUUGGGCCGGUUCGCCUGCCCAUAGCUUCGGGAAUUUCGUUGAACCCUCCCGUUUAGAGGAAGGAGAAGUCGUAACA
This 324-nucleotide ribosomal RNA is filed under the name uncultured eukaryote. Its description in RNAcentral is "partial 18S ribosomal RNA". It matches the Rfam family "Eukaryotic small subunit ribosomal RNA", at positions 1470 to 1796 of the family's 1831-position model. The record is from RNAcentral.